RNAcentral lists this ribosomal RNA (1370 nucleotides) under uncultured bacterium. Its description in RNAcentral is "16S ribosomal RNA". It matches the Rfam family "Bacterial small subunit ribosomal RNA", at positions 32 to 1398 of the family's 1533-position model. The record is from RNAcentral.
AACGCUGGCGGCGUGCUUAACACACGCAAGUCCGAAACGAUGAAGCCUAGCUUCGCUAGGCGGAAUAGCGGCGAAACGGGCGAGUAAUACGUCGAGCGACCUACCUUCGACUCUGGGAUAAAGCCCCGGGAAACCGGGUCUAAUACCGGAUACGACCAAUCUCCGCACGGGGUCGUUCGGUGGAAAGCGUUAUGGAGUGGUUUUAGAUGGGCUCACGGCCUAUCAGCUUGUUGGUGAGGUAAUGGCUUACCAAGGCGACGACGGGUAGCCGGCCUGAGAGGGUGACCGGCCACACUGGGACUGAGACACGGCCCAGACUCCUACGGGAGGCAGCAGUGGGGAAUAUUGCACAAUGGGCGCAAGCCUGAUGCAGCGACGCCGCGUGAGGGAUGACGGCCUUCGGGUUGUAAACCUCUGUUAGCAUCGAAGAAGCGAAAGUGACGGUAGGUGCAGAGAAAGCGCCGGCUAACUACGUGCCAGCAGCCGCGGUAAUACGUAGGGCGCGAGCGUUGUCCGGAAUUAUUGGGCGUAAAGAGCUUGUAGGGCGGUUGGUCGCGUCUGCUGUGAAAGGCUGGGGCUUAACCCUGGUUUUGCAGUGGGUACGGGCUAACUAGAGUGCAGUAGGGGAGACUGGAAUUCCUGGUGUAGCGGUGGAAUGCGCAGAUAUCAGGAGGAACACCGAUGGCGAAGGCAGGUCUCUGGGCUGUAACUGACGCUGAGAAGCGAAAGCAUGGGGAGCGAACAGGAUUAGAUACCCUGGUAGUCCAUGCCGUAAACGUUGGGCACUAGGUGUGGGGGACAUUCCACGUUUUCCGCGCCGUAGCUAACGCAUUAAGUGCCCCGCCUGGGGAGUACGGCCGCAAGGCUAAAACUCAAAGAAAUUGACGGGGGCCCGCACAAGCGGCGGAGCAUGCGGAUUAAUUCGAUGCAACGCGAAGAACCUUACCAAGGCUUGACAUAUACUGGACUGCGUCAGAGAUGGCGUUUCCCUUCGGGGCUGGUAUACAGGUGGUGCAUGGUUGUCGUCAGCUCGUGUCGUGAGAUGUUGGGUUAAGUCCCGCAACGAGCGCAACCCUCGUUCUAUGUUGCCAGCACGUGAUGGUGGGGACUCAUAGGAGACUGCCGGGGUCAACUCGGAGGAAGGUGGGGAUGACGUCAAAUCAUCAUGCCCCUUAUGUCUUGGGCUUCACGCAUGCUACAAUGGCCGGUACAGAGGGUUGCGAUACUGUGAGGUGGAGCUAAUCCCUAAAAGCCGGUCUCAGUUCGGAUUGGGGUCUGCAACUCGACCCCAUGAAGUCGGAGUCGCUAGUAAUCGCAGAUCAGCAACGCUGCGGUGAAUACGUUCCCGGGCCUUGUACACACCGCCCGUC